GACCCAACCGAAAGGAGGGAGCUGCCGAAGGUGGGACCGAUAACUGGGGUGAAGUCGUAACAAGGUAGCCGUAUCGGAAGGUGCGGCUGGAUCACCUCCUUUCUAAGGA
RNAcentral lists this ribosomal RNA (109 nucleotides) under Dorea formicigenerans. RNAcentral's name for it is "partial 16S ribosomal RNA". It matches the Rfam family "Bacterial small subunit ribosomal RNA", at positions 1432 to 1533 of the family's 1533-position model. The record is from RNAcentral. Lineage: Bacteria; Bacillati; Bacillota; Clostridia; Lachnospirales; Lachnospiraceae.